UGAAAAUGGGCUUCAAAUGAAAUAGACGAAUUUAGUCAUUUACUUAUAAUAAUAGCAAUGGUUGUAUCUCUUAGUAAUCUACUAAUCUUGUUUGGAUGGCAGAAUAUUGUAAAUUUAAUUGUUUGUAGAGCGGUGAGGUAACAGUCCAGUACUUAUGGAUGAGCGAGCCACUUAUUGGUAACUACCUCAUAACAUUGAGUUUAUAGGUUUGUUAUAUUUUCAUGUAUAAUUUUAUUCUAUAGAUGUCUCAUACAAUAAGUUAUUAUAUCUGUGAGAC
Molecule: long non-coding RNA, 277 nt
Filed under: Brassica napus (rape)
Lineage: Eukaryota; Viridiplantae; Streptophyta; Magnoliopsida; Brassicales; Brassicaceae
Description: long non-coding RNA (BNAP_LNC018567)
Source: RNAcentral